This is a long non-coding RNA of Bacillus rossius redtenbacheri, 728 nucleotides long. RefSeq lists it as uncharacterized. The record is from RefSeq and is a predicted model, not a curated record. Lineage: Eukaryota; Metazoa; Arthropoda; Insecta; Phasmatodea; Bacillidae. The transcript has 2 exons.
GGCAACGAUUAUCCACCUAUACGGUGCUAGGUCUCCUAUCCUCCCUGGAGCGGCCCCCGGGAUUGCGCUCUAGGGGGCCCCCCCUUUUCUCUCAAUGCCUAAUAAAAUUUUAACAGUAUUGUGAAGAGAAUGUGAUGGGGAAGCGAGAUGAAAAGCGAAAAUUAAAACUGUGCAUUCUACAGAAAAUGAAAGAAAAGCGAGCGGUUUUGUUUGGUGCGUUCAGCAAUGCACUUUCAAAACAAGAUAAAGUGGAAGAAUGGCAGCAAAUUAAUUCAUACUCACAGACAUUGGGCGCGAUUGCACCAACGAAAGAGUGGACAUACUUGAGGGAUAUUUGGUGGCCAAAUGUGUGGAAUGCUACAAUGAGAGAAACAAUCGAAAGACAUCACAUGACAACAUUUCUUUGAGUGAAUCUGACAAGACUGAAGAGUCACUUAAAAAAAAGAAAUUGGAACUUUCGGUGGAAAUUUUAGAAAAAGAAAGUUACAUGAAAUCUUUAGAAAUAUUAAAACUUGAGAGGGAACUGGGUGUGGGUUCUUCAAAAUUAACAGAGUCCUUUUUGGCCAGCGAAACUCAUACAUAUAUAAUUCAAGAUUCUGAAUCACUGGGGGGUGAAAAUACAAUUACUGUUGAACGAGGCUGCCAGUGAAGAACAGUUUAUGGUAAAAAAUGAGAAAAUUCCCCUAAAUACUAUUAAUAUUAAAAAAUAAAAUAUUUUACGAUAUGAA